UUGGGAGAACGGGGACAUACGUAGCCUUUGAUUACCUAAUGGACGAAGCCAAUAAGAAAGGAACUGUUGACGUCACAAACUGCAUCGGAAAACUACGUCAGCAAAGACCGUUUAUGGUGCAAACCUCGGAAGAGUACCGUUUUCUGCACGAAGCCUUAUCUGAAAAUCUCACACAUUUGUAUGUGGACGUCAUAUCCUGAAA
This is a long non-coding RNA of Saccostrea echinata, 202 nucleotides long. RefSeq lists it as uncharacterized. The record is from RefSeq and is a predicted model, not a curated record. Lineage: Eukaryota; Metazoa; Mollusca; Bivalvia; Ostreida; Ostreidae. The transcript is spliced from 2 exons.